Molecule: ribosomal RNA, 119 nt
Organism: Tursiops truncatus (common bottlenose dolphin)
Lineage: Eukaryota; Metazoa; Chordata; Mammalia; Artiodactyla; Delphinidae
Source: Ensembl
GUCUACGGCCAUACCACCCUGAACGCGCCCGAUCUCGUCUGAUCUCGGAAGCUAAGCAGGGUCGGGCCUGGUCAGUACUUGGAUGGGAGACCGCCUGGGAAUACCGGGUGCUGUAGGCU